GAACCACUGGAACACAGGAAAGCCAGGAACAGAGUCAUCAUGUUCUACAAAAUCAUAAACCAUAUCGUAGAAGUUCCUGUACACCACCUGCUAAGCCAUCAUAACACCAGAACCCGUGGUUCCGUGUCAAACAACAUCAGACAGAUCAGGACCAGACUGAAUUGUUUCAAAUAUUCAUUCAUACCAGCCACCAUCAUAUCCUCGAACAACAUACCUCCAGACAUCCGAGCUUCCCCGUCUGUGGAACAUUUUCGACACGCCAUCCAAGAUGUCAGCGUGUCGACACUAC
This 289-nucleotide long non-coding RNA is filed under the name Mytilus galloprovincialis (Mediterranean mussel). Lineage: Eukaryota; Metazoa; Mollusca; Bivalvia; Mytilida; Mytilidae. The record is from RNAcentral.